GCAGUCGAACGAACUUCCGUUAAUUGAUUAUGACGUACUUGUACUGAUUGAGAUUUUAACACGAAGUGAGUGGCGAACGGGUGAGUAACACGUGGGUAACCUGCCCAGAAGUAGGGGAUAACACCUGGAAACAGAUGCUAAUACCGUAUAACAGAGAAAACCGCAUGGUUUUCUUUUAAAAGAUGGCUCUGCUAUCACUUCUGGAUGGACCCGCGGCGUAUUAGCUAGUUGGUGAGGUAAAGGCUCACCAAGGCAGUGAUACGUAGCCGACCUGAGAGGGUAAUCGGCCACAUUGGGACUGAGACACGGCCCAGACUCCUACGGGAGGCAGCAGUAGGGAAUCUUCCACAAUGGACGCAAGUCUGAUGGAGCAACGCCGCGUGAGUGAAGAAGGGUUUCGGCUCGUAAAGCUCUGUUGUUAAAGAAGAACGUGGGUAAGAGUAACUGUUUACCCAGUGACGGUAUUUAACCAGAAAGCCACGGCUAACUACGUGCCAGCAGCCGCGGUAAUACGUAGGUGGCAAGCGUUAUCCGGAUUUAUUGGGCGUAAAGCGAGCGCAGGCGGUCUUUUAAGUCUAAUGUGAAAGCCUUCGGCUCAACCGAAGAAGUGCAUUGGAAACUGGGAGACUUGAGUGCAGAAGAGGACAGUGGAACUCCAUGUGUAGCGGUGAAAUGCGUAGAUAUAUGGAAGAACACCAGUGGCGAAGGCGGCUGUCUGGUCUGCAACUGACGCUGAGGCUCGAAAGCAUGGGUAGCGAACAGGAUUAGAUACCCUGGUAGUCCAUGCCGUAAACGAUGAUUACUAAGUGUUGGAGGGUUUCCGCCCUUCAGUGCUGCAGCUAACGCAUUAAGUAAUCCGCCUGGGGAGUACGACCGCAAGGUUGAAACUCAAAAGAAUUGACGGGGGCCCGCACAAGCGGUGGAGCAUGUGGUUUAAUUCGAAGCUACGCGAAGAACCUUACCAGGUCUUGACAUCUUCUGACAGUCUAAGAGAUUAGAGGUUCCCUUCGGGGACAGAAUGACAGGUGGUGCAUGGUUGUCGUCAGCUCGUGUCGUGAGAUGUUGGGUUAAGUCCCGCAACGAGCGCAACCCUUAUUACUAGUUGCCAGCAUUAAGUUGGGCACUCUAGUGAGACUGCCGGUGACAAACCGGAGGAAGGUGGGGACGACGUCAAAUCAUCAUGCCCCUUAUGACCUGGGCUACACACGUGCUACAAUGGAUGGUACAACGAGUCGCGAGACCGCGAGGUUAAGCUAAUCUCUUAAAACCAUUCUCAGUUCGGACUGUAGGCUGCAACUCGCCUACACGAAGUCGGAAUCGCUAGUAAUCGCGGAUCAGCAUGCCGCGGUGAAUACGUUCCCGGGCCUUGUACACACCGCCCGUCACACCAUGAGAGUUUGUAACACCCAAAGCCGGUGGGGUAA
This 1424-nucleotide ribosomal RNA is filed under the name Pediococcus pentosaceus. RNAcentral describes it as "bacterial SSU rRNA". It matches the Rfam family "Bacterial small subunit ribosomal RNA". The record is from RNAcentral. Lineage: Bacteria; Bacillati; Bacillota; Bacilli; Lactobacillales; Lactobacillaceae. RNAcentral also lists the same sequence under 1 other name.